UGGUUUGCAGGUCUUUGUAAGCUGGGGAAACAAGCACAGAGUGACUCCCGUGCCUUCUGCACGGGAAGGGAUCCCUUAGAAGGAUCCCAAGGAGGAAUUAGGAGGAAGGAAAAACCAAAUUAAAAAACCAGGAGUUCUCUGCCAGAAGGAAAAGCUCCCCGAGCAGCACAAAGAGAAGGAGAUGGGGAAGAGAGAGAAUGCCUGGGCACAGAGGAGAAAGCUGAAAUAUCAAAUUCUGCUAUGCAGGGGGGAAGGUGGCUACACCCCCACGGAGAAUUAAGCGUGCAGACAAAACCCAUCCCCAGCCUGGCAGCUGCAGUGGGAAUGCCAACAUUCCACCUUCCCCUGAUGGGAGCAGGAGCUUUAACAACACCCAGGGAACGGGGAGAGCUGCUCCAGCAAGUGUCACCAAAGCUCUCACAACAGGAAUCAUCCUCAGCUGCAGCUCAGGAGAUGACAACACCGAGAGGGAAAUGGGGUGGAGUACAGGACUUUUUGCUCUUUCAUAGGAUCUAUCUAAUACCAAAUCCUAAACCAGCAGAAUUUAGUCACCUCCCCUCUACAUAACUAUGCUCUCUGCCGAUUUUCACAUCAAAUCAACACACCUAGAAGGUGAAAAGAGAACUCACACACUUACCAGAGCUUGUUGUAGGCCUCUAGACAUUCGGGUUUGACAUUGUGAACUGCAACAACAACAAGAGGGCCGUGAGGCAGGCAGGGGCACAGGGAAGGAACGGCGCUG
Molecule: long non-coding RNA, 742 nt
Organism: Hirundo rustica (Barn swallow)
Lineage: Eukaryota; Metazoa; Chordata; Aves; Passeriformes; Hirundinidae
Exons: 3
Source: RefSeq, a predicted model, not a curated record